RNAcentral lists this ribosomal RNA (422 nucleotides) under Pseudoalteromonas sp. RNAcentral describes it as "bacterial SSU rRNA". It matches the Rfam family "Bacterial small subunit ribosomal RNA", at positions 90 to 514 of the family's 1533-position model. The record is from RNAcentral. Lineage: Bacteria; Pseudomonadati; Pseudomonadota; Gammaproteobacteria; Alteromonadales; Pseudoalteromonadaceae.
GACGAGCGGCGGACGGGUGAGUAAUGCUUGGGAACAUGCCUUGAGGUGGGGGACAACAGUUGGAAACGACUGCUAAUACCGCAUAAUGUCUACGGACCAAAGGGGGCUUCGGCUCUCGCCUUUAGAUUGGCCCAAGUGGGAUUAGCUAGUUGGUGAGGUAAUGGCUCACCAAGGCGACGAUCCCUAGCUGGUUUGAGAGGAUGAUCAGCCACACUGGGACUGAGACACGGCCCAGACUCCUACGGGAGGCAGCAGUGGGGAAUAUUGCACAAUGGGCGCAAGCCUGAUGCAGCCAUGCCGCGUGUGUGAAGAAGGCCUUCGGGUUGUAAAGCACUUUCAGUCAGGAGGAAAGGUUGGUGGUUAAUACCUGCCAGGUGUGACGUUACUGACAGAAGAAGCACCGGCUAACUCCGUGCCAGCAG